UCCAUUCAAAAAUAAAUUUAUUAGUUGG
Molecule: small RNA, 28 nt
Filed under: Bombyx mori (domestic silkworm)
Lineage: Eukaryota; Metazoa; Arthropoda; Insecta; Lepidoptera; Bombycidae
Description: ovarian small RNA-27070
Source: RNAcentral